This 146-nucleotide ribosomal RNA is filed under the name uncultured eukaryote. Its description in RNAcentral is "partial 18S ribosomal RNA". It matches the Rfam family "Eukaryotic small subunit ribosomal RNA", at positions 1299 to 1458 of the family's 1831-position model. The record is from RNAcentral.
UGGUGGAUUGCUCUGUCUGGUUUAUUCCGUUAACGAACGAGACCUUAACCUGCUAAAUAGUUACGUGAAUCUCACAAUUGAUUCACGGCUUAUACUUCUUAGAGGGACUAUCGGUGACUAACCGAUGGAAGUUUGAGGCAAUAACA